Molecule: long non-coding RNA, 1960 nt
Organism: Numida meleagris (helmeted guineafowl)
Lineage: Eukaryota; Metazoa; Chordata; Aves; Galliformes; Numididae
Exons: 9
Source: RefSeq, a predicted model, not a curated record
CUUCCCUAAUGCCUUCUUUAGAAUGGACUUUCAAGGCGAAGUGAGAGCAGUAACUGUAAUAAUCACCUCUUCUUUUCUUUUGCUGUCAAAAGGCAGGGGGGUUGUUAAAACUAAUCAAGAACCAGGACCACACUGCAAAAAAUAAGUGCCCUAAAAGACAAGUGGAGGAACCUGAAACCAUUUUCCAGAAGUCCUCCUCACAGCUGCCAAAUCUCAUCGAUGUUUCUGUUGGUUUUGGUUUUCUUGGGAGUGGUUCUGAGACAUCCCAGCUGAGAAGCAAAGUCCUUUUCACCAACGCAUGCUGUCGGGUUGCUGAUGACUUUGGCUGCAAGGCAGCUUUGAUCAGGACCUCUACACUGGGUGAGGACAGGAGGAAACGAAGCCAUCCAGAGGCAUGAGUGAUGAGAACCCAGGGCCAUCUUGAGGCUCCCCAACAAGGCCUCAGUACUGAGUUUUGCUGCCCAUGGGAUGAGGAGAGGGGGCCAAACUGAUGCUUCACAGCUUCUGCCAGGAGAUGGAGAGCUGAGAAAACACCCCCACAAAGUCAAGCCACUGAUUCAUAGCGAAAGAAGAUGGUCCCAAACCAAGUGAGACACUGUACACCAAAACUGUUAAUCUUACCUGGUGUGGCAGUACAUUGCAUCAGACAAGAGCAGAAAGGUAACCUCCAGACUAUCUUCAAGGACUAUGAGUAUUUGUUGGAGAACGGUAUUUUCCAGUCUUAACUGAAAUGAAUUUGUGUGCUCAACAAUCAGUAGAAAUGAAGAAAGAAACACAGACAUACGAAGAGAAAGUAUGAAUUUCUUUGUUAAAAAAAAGAAAAAAAACCAGACAAUAUUAAAUAACAUUUGGGGUUUGACAUGGAAAACACUGCAAUAGUUCCUGGGGGUAGCAGGGAGAAAUUAGGAAAGGUCACUGAAUGUGAUCUCCUUGAAACCUCAGAGAAGAACAGACAUGGAGAUACAACAGCAUACAAAGCAGUAAGAGCCUACAAGACAGUAAAACAGAUGAGUGAACACAGUAGAAGCAAAUGAAGCACAGGACACCCCUUCUACUGGGUUAAUGGUCUAUUAUUUAUCACCAGAGAUUGGUGGAUCUAAAACAUUUUUUCUUCUCUUCAUCCUGAGUCAGAACUCAGCUGCUGAUUCAGCACUUGUUUGCUGUUGGGAAGAACUUCAAGUCUCAACCAAGUCUCGUAAAACAACGUGGCUCCAGUAAAUCAUACUGCCUUUUUGUGGAUGUUGAAGGUCAAUAGAACGACCUUCCUGAAAAUCCAGAGAGGUAGGAGUGCUCUCACUUUAUAACUACUUCAGCAAGCCCAGGCCCCACAGUUCACCUGCAUCUUACAGCCAUCGACAUGGGCAGUUACACAGAGCGGCGACAGCUCCUGCCCUCCCUGCUGCUGGAACAGAGCCCCUCCAGUCUGUUUUUGAGCAUGUUAUGACCACUCGAUCGAGCCAUCAUUUGAUCACACACCACUGGCUUCAGUAACCAGGCUCUGGCCUCACUUUCUUUCUGCCAAUGAAGAGGAUCCUGUCGCAGUGUUACUCUGCCGUGUGCAGCUUUGGAGGAAGGAGAAGGUGUAAAGGGAAGAAGGAUAUCUUGAGGUUUGCUGUUUGGAGCUGGCUCUGUGUUGUAUUUCACUAUGUAAGCAAACAUAUGCACAGUUUUCUCUUCAGGUUUUCAGGCAGAGCAGUUCAACAGGCAAUUUCCUGUACUAAGUGGCGUUAUAAUUAGGAUUGCCACUGGAAUGAAACCCAGUGCUCCCAUAUUAUUAUAUUAUACCAUGUUAGCAUUUAAUUGUUACAUCUGAGAGACAUACGCCCACAUUUUGAGUGGCUAACUUCUCAUAUCCUGCUUUUUUACAUCAUGGCUUUAAAUUCCCUUUAUUAUUCCUCUGUAAAUGUAUCUGUUCACAUGUGUAUUGGUAGAGAACAGUAAACAGCAAAUCAUGACAGUC